Beta vulgaris subsp. vulgaris (sugar beet) is the source of this 822-nucleotide long non-coding RNA. RefSeq lists it as uncharacterized. The transcript is spliced from 6 exons. The record is from RefSeq and is a predicted model, not a curated record. NCBI's taxonomy places the organism in Eukaryota, Viridiplantae, Streptophyta, Magnoliopsida, Caryophyllales, Amaranthaceae.
UCCCCUCCCUCUCAAUCCACCAAAGCAACGGACGCUUAUUGAAGAGAUAGUCAGAUAGAGACUGAGGAGAGAGAAAGUGAAACAAGAAAAAAAAGAAUCCAAAAAAAGGGUUUCUUCAACUCUCCAUCUCUAAGAAGUGUUAUGCAACAUGGUUUGGUGCAUGCCCUGGUUUGAAAGUACUUGCUCCAUAUUCAGCAGAGGAUGCCCGAGGGUUGCUCAAAGCUGCCAUUAGGGAUCCAGACCCUGUUGUUUUUCUAGAAAAUGAGCUUUUAUAUGGUGAAUCGUUUCCUGUUGCAGAUGAAGUUCUUGACGCUAAUUUCCCCCUUCCAAUUGGGAAAGCAAAGGUAGAACAACAAGGGAAGGAUGUCACAAUCACUGCUUUCUCUAAGAUGGUGGGCAACGCUCUCAAGAUGGAGAUGCUCCAAGUCACACUUCAGAAAGAAGCAACUGAUUCUAUAACUGCAUCCAAGGCAGGAAAAUGGAGAUGCUCCCGUUAGGUUAUACAUACACGAGCCGUUAUUUAUCCGAUGAUGCAGCAAGCCAUCAAGGGAAGUGGCUUACGAGAGUUGAAUAUAGAAUAUCUGAAGAAAUGUGACUUUGAAGCUUUUGUUGUUAGAGCAUACUUCUUUGUGUUCAUCUUCAAUCUUGCGUCUUCUGAUUUUUAGGCUUUUGUGUAAAUUAGUUAUUUAGUUUCCAAAGUACUCUGACCAUUAUUGUGGAAUGGCAAAUUUUUUUCUGUUUACAAUUUUGCUUUGGAUAUUGAUUUGUUCUUCCAUCCUUUUCUUCUUGGUUGAAAUAAUUUCAGUGCGUUGGAUUCUCUAA